This 492-nucleotide ribosomal RNA is filed under the name uncultured bacterium. RNAcentral's name for it is "partial 16S ribosomal RNA". It matches the Rfam family "Bacterial small subunit ribosomal RNA", at positions 30 to 507 of the family's 1533-position model. The record is from RNAcentral.
AUUGAACGCUGGCGGUAGGCCUAACACAUGCAAGUCGAACGGCAGCACAGUAAGAGCUUGUUCUUACGGGUGGCGAGUGGCGGAGGGGUGAGGAAUACAUCGGACUCUACUAUUUCGGGGGGGAUAACGUAGGGAAACUUACGCUAAUACCGUAUACGACCUACGGGUGAAAGCAGGAGAUCUUGGGACCUUGCGCGAUUGAAUGACCCGAUGUCGGAUUAGCUAGUUGGCGGGGUAAAGGCCCACCAAGGCGACGAUCCGUAGCUGGUCUGAGAGGAUGAUCAGCCACACUGGAACUGAGACACGGUCCAGACUCCUACGGGAGGCAGCAGUGGGGAAUAUUGGACAAUGGGCGCAAGCCUGAUCCAGCCAUACCGCGUGGGUGAAGAAGGCCUUCGGGUUGUAAAGCACUUUUGUUGGGAAAGAAAAGCAGCAAGUUAAUACCCCGCUGUUCUGACGGUACCCAAAGAAUAAGCACCGGCUAACUUCGUG